GACGAACGCUGGCGGCGUGCUUAACACAUGCAAGUCGAACGAUGAACCCGGAGCUUGCUCUGGGGGAUUAGUGGCGAACGGGUGAGUAACACGUGAGUAACCUGCCCUGGACUCUGGGAUAAGCGUUGGAAACGACGUCUAAUACCGGAUAGGACCUUGGAUCGCAUGAUCUGGGGUGGAAAGUUUUUUCGGUCUGGGAUGGACUCGCGGCCUAUCAGCUUGUUGGUGAGGUAAUGGCUCACCAAGGCGUCGACGGGUAGCCGGCCUGAGAGGGUGACCGGCCACACUGGGACUGAGACACGGCCCAGACUCCUACGGGAGGCAGCAGUGGGGAAUAUUGCACAAUGGGCGAAAGCCUGAUGCAGCAACGCCGCGUGCGGGAUGACGGCCUUCGGGUUGUAAACCGCUUUUAGUAGUGAAGAAGGGCUUCGGCUUGACGGUACCUGCAGAAAAAGGACCGGCUAACUACGUG
Molecule: ribosomal RNA, 472 nt
Filed under: uncultured bacterium
Lineage: Bacteria
Description: partial 16S ribosomal RNA
Rfam family: Bacterial small subunit ribosomal RNA
Source: RNAcentral